RNAcentral lists this long non-coding RNA (659 nucleotides) under Homo sapiens (human). RNAcentral describes it as "HSALNT0343234". The record is from RNAcentral. Lineage: Eukaryota; Metazoa; Chordata; Mammalia; Primates; Hominidae.
ACCUCGUGAUCCGCCUGCCUCAGCCUCCCAGAGUGCUGGGAUUACAAGCGUGAGCCACUGCGCCCGGCCUCCUCUGGGUAAUUUUAAAGAUGCAUAUUGUUGGGCAUCAGACUAGUCCUGAUGAAUCACAUUUUCUGAAAUGUACCUCAGGAUUCGUAUUAUUAACGCACAUUCUCUCCCCCUCUAAUUUUAAUGUGUAAGGCAAACAUUAAGAACGGCUCUAAGUAGCUACGAGAAUGAUGGGAAACAAUUACGUGGUUCAUGGAACUAUGAAGGGAGAUCCUGUAAUCUUCAGCAAAGGCUCCUUGGAGCUGGGAAGGAAUGAGAUUUGCACCACUGUAAACCCUACAGUAUUUCCAGCCCAAGAAUAAGGAGGGAGAAGCUGAGCUGAGGGCUACAGACAACACCGUGUACAAACCACAGCAAAUUUAUUACUCAAGAUCCAGUGCCACAUUAUAGCACCACCCGAAGCCCUCACCUUCCCCCUCCCAACCUGGCCCCUAGAGUACACCCAAAACAGAAAAAAAAAAGGAAACCCAGAUCCCUGCUCCUCCUCUGGAAGAGGGGGCCUUGGCCAGGAAGCCCCUUCCAUAGGUCCCAGCAGGCAGGAGAGUGGACCCCUCUGUGCCCAGAGAGCAAGGCUCCAGGCUCCAACAACA